CCUGGGGCCGUCACCAAGGAAGGGACUUCCGAAUUGGGCAGCCGGUUUGUUCUGUGGAGAGAAGGAAGGAGCUCCCUCUGGCUCCCCGUGGAGGGCCAGCUGGAGGAGCAGAGACCAGUGAUGUGGAUGUUGCAAUAGUCCUGGCCAGCAAGGAUGAGCUCGGAAUGAAGGCAACGGCAGUGGGAGAGAACAAAGUCACGGGAUCGCAUGGAUGAGGGAGAGGGAGGAGUCCAGGCGCUGCCCGCAUCUGUCCCCAGGAAUCAGGCCCCUGCUGGGCUCUGUGGCAUGGAGGUGCUGGCCUACAGAGGGAGACAGAUGGAGGGUCCUGGGAGCCAUAGCUGACAUCUAGAAGAAUGGACCACUCCACCGAGGAGGUGGGGACACUGUGGUAAAGAAGCGGCUAUGGAGGGUGCCAAGGCCAUUCAAUGGGGAGAGAAGAAUCUUUCAACAAAUGGUGCUGGGACAACUGGAUACACACAUGCAAAAGAAUGAAGUUGGACCCCUACUUCACAUCAUAUACAAAAAUUAACUUUAAAUAGAUUGAAGACCUAAAUGUAAGAACUAAACUGUAGGACAAAAGAAAACAUAGAGGUAAACCUUCAUGACCUCAAAUUUGGCAAUGGUUUCUCAGCUAUGGCACCGAAAUCACAAGUGACAAAAGAAAAAGAUAGAUGCCCAGCCAGCGUGGCUCAGUGGUUGAGUGUCAACCUUUGAACCAAGAGGUCAAAGUUCAAUUCCCAGUCAGGGCACAUACCCAGGUUGCAGGCUCGAUCCCCAGAGUGGGGGGUGCAGGAAGCAGCCAAUCAAUGAUUCUGUCUCAUCAUUGAUGUUUCUAUCUCUCCCUCUCCUUUCCUCUCUGAAAUCAAUAAGCAUAUUUUUAAGUGAGAAAAAAAUAGA
Long non-coding RNA from Eptesicus fuscus (big brown bat), 897 nucleotides. RefSeq lists it as uncharacterized. The transcript is spliced from 4 exons. Lineage: Eukaryota; Metazoa; Chordata; Mammalia; Chiroptera; Vespertilionidae. The record is from RefSeq and is a predicted model, not a curated record.